RNAcentral lists this long non-coding RNA (259 nucleotides) under Nicotiana benthamiana. RNAcentral describes it as "long non-coding RNA (NBEN_LNC026135)". The record is from RNAcentral. Lineage: Eukaryota; Viridiplantae; Streptophyta; Magnoliopsida; Solanales; Solanaceae.
GGUGGCAUUAUUUUAGGGAGAUUCCGAGAAAAUAACCAAGGUGCUCUUUUUAUAACCACAGCUAUGGAAUCAACAUCACUACCUAAUAAUUCUCGAAGAUAAUCAAGACUUCUAAUAUAAGUAUCAUGACUUGUAUGAAACAAAGCACCACUUUUUGUAAUUAUUCUAGUUAAAUUCCACCCAGAUAAGCCAACUUCUUGAAGAACCUUAAUUUUGGGUUUAAGGGUAUUAUCAACAUCAGAAAAUAGCAAUCCGGGGC